ACACAUGCAAGUCGAGGGGUAUAGUAGCAAUACUAGAGACCGGCGCACGGGUGCGUAACGCGUAUGCAAUCUACCUUUUGCAGAGGGAUAGCCCAGAGAAAUUUGGAUUAAUACCUCAUAGUAUAACGACUCGGCAUCGAGAUGUUAUUAAAGUCACAACGGCAAAAGAUGAGCAUGCGUCCCAUUAGUUAGUUGGUAAGGUAACGGCUUACCAAGACUACGAUGGGUAGGGGUCCUGAGAGGGAGAUCCCCCACACUGGUACUGAGACACGGACCAGACUCCUACGGGAGGCAGCAGUGAGGAAUAUUGGACAAUGGGCGCAAGCCUGAUCCAGCCAUGCCGCGUGCAGGAUGACGGUCCUAUGGAUUGUAAACUGCUUUUGCACAGGAAGAAACAACGCUACGUGUAGCGUCUUGACGGUACUGUGAGAAUAAGGAUCGGCUAACUCCGUGCCAGCAGCCGCGGUAAUACGGAGGAUCCAAGCGUUAUCCGGAAUCAUUGGGUUUAAAGGGUCCGUAGGCGGUCUUAUAAGUCAGUGGUGAAAUCUCCCCGCUCAACGGGGAAACGGCCAUUGAUACUGUAGGACUUGAAUUAUUAGGAAGUAACUAGAAUAUGUAGUGUAGCGGUGAAAUGCUUAGAGAUUACAUGGAAUACCAAUUGCGAAGGCAGGUUACUACUAAUGGAUUGACGCUGAUGGACGAAAGCGUGGGUAGCGAACAGGAUUAGAUACCCUGGUAGUCCACGCCGUAAACGAUGGAUACUAGCUGUUGGGCGCAAGUUCAGUGGCUAAGCGAAAGUGAUAAGUAUCCCACCUGGGGA
RNAcentral lists this ribosomal RNA (820 nucleotides) under uncultured bacterium. Its description in RNAcentral is "bacterial SSU rRNA". It matches the Rfam family "Bacterial small subunit ribosomal RNA", at positions 51 to 879 of the family's 1533-position model. The record is from RNAcentral.